This 1677-nucleotide long non-coding RNA is filed under the name Bemisia tabaci. RNAcentral describes it as "lncRNA ENSSSA2NGG011359". The record is from RNAcentral. Lineage: Eukaryota; Metazoa; Arthropoda; Insecta; Hemiptera; Aleyrodidae.
AAUACAUGCCUCGAGCCCUUUCCAUGUAUAUUCUACACUAACUUCAUUGUUUCAUUAUUUUUCAAACGCUCAAACAUAUUUAUUAUAUUCAAAAAGUUUUACCACAAUCGAAGUUUAAUGAAACAUUUACCCUGUGUUUUCAAGAUAGAGCAGCUGAGCUAGAUUCUUGAUGUAGGAGUGGUAUGCUUUUCCUACCCCAGCCACUUUUAAGCUGUCCUCUACUAGGUAUUAGAAAGAACAAAUGAAUUCUGUUUGUCAGAAAAGAAAGCGCUGAGUGAAAAUUGCAGCCUUUGCUUCUAAUUUGAUUAUUUGCAGCACCCAAAUCUCGGCCCAUUUCUUAAAUAUGCUUACGCCAUCUAUUCCCACCAAUUAGGUAUGUCUUGAAUAUCUGGCUCAAUGUGUGCAAGCAUGAGGGCUUUCAUGUGGCAAGAUUCUAGCAAUAAGUAAGCAUUUUUCCUCUUUUUUUGUAGAUGGAACGCUCCUGAACACUUUUAAAACGAAAGGCUACUCCUUGCAAUACCUUCUCUCUAAAUCUGACAGUGUGAUGAUAGAUGAUUUCGCCGCUUCUUUUGUGAAGCAGUCAGAUGCACACUCUCCGUCAUAGCGAAACAAAAGUCUAUCAUUGGAUUCGUGCGACAAGCUAUGCGACAAGCUCUGAUUAAAUGCCUGCUAUAUUUGAAAGAAAGUCUGGAAAGGUACUCCUCUGCGCCAAAAGGAGCCUACUUCAUUUGGAUAUUAUUACCCUGCUUAUAGAAAUAAAACAAGGGAUUGUCGAUCAAUAAAAAUAAAUUAGUGAAUAAAUCAUUGAAAUGAAACGAAUCCACUUCUAAAAGUCCCUUUUUUUGAGCCGUAAUAAAAUUGUUUUUUACUCAUCAGCCAGCAAGACUGCAUUUUGUAUCCAUCUCCAUCCCUUAAAACUGGAAGUAGGUAUCCUUUUCCUUCUAAGGUAUAGAAUUAUAUCAGUAAAAGUAGUGCUAAGUUUUUAUUUAAAAUAUAAAUAAAAUUAUUUUCUUCUACUUUAAUUGAGUUGUAUGUACCUAUAAUCGUUUCAAAGUUUAACUUCUUUUUUUUACGUGGUUUGGUCUUCCUAAUUUACUCCUCACUCGAGCUGAUUUUGCAAUGCAAGCAUAGAUGUCAGAGAAAAGAGGCUCCGAGUUUGGUGAAAGUAAUACUAGCUAUUUGUAAGUCCUUAGACUCAGAAAUAAAAGAAUGAUUGUUUCUCAAUUUGAGUGAGUUUGUUUUUUUCCCUCCCUCCCUUAAAAUAGCCUGUGCCAUGGUAAUGGCAACCCAUCUCUUAUGGACUUUGACACUUUAGCUCAGUGACUUAGAGGGCAAGUGGAAUAAGAGUAGUUUUUGUUAUUUCAAGAAAUGUAUGUUUAAAGUUUCAAAAUCACGCAGAGCUCUAUUGAGGAAAGAAAGUUCAAACUUUGCUAGUUCAAACAAAGAUGCUAAAAAAUUGGAUUUUACUUAGUAGUGAAUUUUUCGUAUAAUAUAUUUUAAGACUAGUUUUAUGUGAAAUCAUUAAUAUCUCAAUUUUUUCAAGAACUGCACUUAUCCCACUUUUCUUCCAAGCCUCUCUACUUAAGUACCUAAUUUAUACUCACUGUCUAAGUUCAUAUCAAAAUUUUGGAGAAAAUCAUUCCUCCCUUGCCAGGUUCUGCAUAAUUUUGGCUUUCA